AAAUUGAAGAGUUUGAUCAUGGCUCAGAUUGAACGCUGGCGGCAGGCCUAACACAUGCAAGUCGAACGGUAACAGGAAGCAGCUUGCUGCUUUGCUGACGAGUGGCGGACGGGUGAGUAAUGUCUGGGAAACUGCCUGAUGGAGGGGGAUAACUACUGGAAACGGUGGCUAAUACCGCAUAACGUCGCAAGACCAAAGAGGGGGACCUUCGGGCCUCUUGCCAUCAGAUGUGCCCAGAUGGGAUUAGCUUGUUGGUGAGGUAACGGCUCACCAAGGCGACGAUCCCUAGCUGGUCUGAGAGGAUGACCAGCCAC
This 314-nucleotide ribosomal RNA is filed under the name Salmonella enterica. Its description in RNAcentral is "bacterial SSU rRNA". It matches the Rfam family "Bacterial small subunit ribosomal RNA", at positions 1 to 311 of the family's 1533-position model. The record is from RNAcentral. RNAcentral also lists the same sequence under 2 other names. Lineage: Bacteria; Pseudomonadati; Pseudomonadota; Gammaproteobacteria; Enterobacterales; Enterobacteriaceae.